Molecule: ribosomal RNA, 801 nt
Filed under: uncultured bacterium
Lineage: Bacteria
Description: bacterial SSU rRNA
Rfam family: Bacterial small subunit ribosomal RNA
Source: RNAcentral
AGAGUUUGAUCCUGGCUCAGAAUCAACGCUGGCGGCGUGCCUCAGACAUGCAAGUCGAACGAGAAGGCUCUUUCGGGAGCCGGAAAGUGGCGCACGGGUGAGUAACACGUGGGUAAUUUACCUUCGGGUGGGGAACAACAGCCGGAAACGGCUGCUAAUACCGCAUAAUGCAGCGGCACCUAAUGGUGACAGUUGUUAAAGCGGGGGAUCGCAAGACCUCGCGCCUGAAGAGAAGCCCGCGGCAGAUUAGGUAGUUGGUGAGGUAAUGGCUCACCAAGCCUGCGAUCUGUAGCCGGCCUGAGAGGGCGGUCGGCCACACUGACACUGAACAACGGGUCAGACUCCUACGGGAGGCAGCAGUCGGGAAUUUUGGGCAAUGGGCGAAAGCCUGACCCAGCAACGCCGCGUGAAGGAUGAAGUUUUUCGGAAUGUAAACUUCAUAAGAAUGGGAAGAAUAAGUUUUAGCUAACACCUGAAACGAUGACGGUACCAUUUGUAAGCUCCGGCUAACUCCGUGCCAGCAGCCGCGGUAAUACGGGGGGAGCAAGCGUUGUUCGGAAUUACUGGGCGUAAAGCGCGCGUAGGCGGACAUCUAAGUCAGGGGUGAAAUCCCAGGGCUCAACCCCUGGAACUGCCUUUGAUACUGAAUGUCUGGAGUUCGGGAGAUGUGAGUGAAAUUCGAAGUGUAAAGGUGAAAUUCGUAAAUAUUCGGAGGAACACCAAAAAGCCAAAGGCGGGGUUGGUUGGGCCCCGAAACUUGACCCCUGGAGGGCCCCCAAAAGCCCUAGGGGGGAACCCCAA